CGUCACACCUGGCACAGAUUGGGUUUGAAGUUCUGCUGCCCCGCGAGUGACGAGGCUGGCCUUUCUAAUCGUCAGCUGGGUGGAAAUUGUUCAUUCAUUGUCAGCCUCGGCUGUUCCUCGCACAACGGGUGCCCUCUGCUGUCCAGUGCGUGUGCAGCAAUCUCCCACACAUGCCUCAAAAUAAAUUCCUUUGCAUCAGAAGAUGGCCACAAAAUGCUUCAGUCUGAAGAAGGGUCUCAAACCCGAAACGUCACCUCCUCCUUUUCUCCAGAGAUGCUGCCUGACCCGCCGAGUUACACCAGCAUUUUGUGCCUAUCUUCGGUGUAAGCAUCUGCAGCACCUACACAUUUUCUUAGGAUCAGACUGGGAGAUAUUGUGCAAACGCAAAAUAAAACCAUAACAUCUUGAUUCAGUUUGCAGUGUUAAGCAGUGUAUUUCUAUCUAAUCAGAAUAGCUUUUAUUUUAACUGCUGUGUGGAAUAGUGUGAAUGUUUAAAGGCUAGCAGUGCAGAAACAUCAUUAAGCAUACCUUUUUCUGAUGGGGAAGAAAUCUUUCCGCUCACUAAUACGGGAAAGCUACAUACAAUUUAUUAGACAGAUUAAAUUUUUAAAAGAUUUUUUUUUCAACAAGAACUACUGAUUUUUCUAUUAGAAUCACGUCUGCUCAUGUUCAAUUAUUGUUAAAGAUGUAAGUGUUCUAUCAGCCAGGAUUAGACCCUGUUUCAUAAAUGCGGGUAUCUUUGGGUGAAUGAUCAGAUGGACAACAAUUACUCUCACUCACUGCGUCGAGGUUCAAGAUUGCCUUAUCUCCUUUGAUGUGUCUGCUAAAAACACGGUGACUUACUGAUGGCGAUGAGGUUAUUGUGUUGGCAACUGUGUUCUUGAUGGCUUGACUGGGAAAGAACGCUUCCUCAAUGCUCAAAUGUGGAGGCAAGCAUCGACAAUGAGAGUCAACCUAAUGACCACCUUGUGAGUGGCAGCAUUUUGUUUAAUUUAGCAAUGUCACAGUUCCAUGUUUUUCCAUGGAUUUCAAUAUCAUACCUCGUUUGGGGGGGGGGGGGAGAAUCAAAUCAGUAUUUAAAAUACCAGAUGGUACAUGACUACCGUCUGUCUACAUGUUAACCAUGGGUUUGUUUAUACGCAAUUAUAAAUCAUACUUUAAGAUGUAUUAGUGCUGUAUAGUAGAAAUUUGUUUUUAAAGAAGGAAAUCAAGCAAUUUUUAUUUAUUUAAAACUGAUUUUAACCAAAGCCUAUAUGCCUAUUUACCCUGCAUAAUCUUUCUUUAAAAGACUAAGGUUAAUCUUGCUAUAGUGGGGCUACUUGGGAGCUCACUGUAAUAUCAGAAGUUCAAAUGACGAUGCUCUAUUCUGUGCCAGUGACAGCCUGGGUCUGGCACAUACAAUUAUGUUCAAAAAUUGCAUAUUGUGCAAAGAUUAAUUUUUAAAAAGGCUUUGACCGUGGGUCAUUGAAGAGCUUCACACACCAUGCAAUGGAUGGAAAUGCUUGGAAUCUAAGCAGAUGUGUGAUUUGUUUUGAAUCAUAAGCUUCCGUAUUAAACUAUCAGGUGCCACAUUGCUUGCUUCAGAAGUCUGGGGGGCAAAAUCGACCAGCCUUUUAAAAUGACAAAGUACUUACCUUUCAUCUACUUCAUAGCCAUUGCAAAUGAUUAAUUUAUGAUCUGCAUUGAAAAAAAUUGAACCGCCUCCCUCUGCAAUACUCUUAUGCCCUCUUCCUCCAAAUAAAAACUUUCUAGUUAUAUUUAAUGUACAACAUAUGCUAACCUAACGAACUGUAACCUGGGAUUAUUUGAUUAAGGAUAUUUGAUUACAUGUGUUUCUAAUGGCAUCAAUAAUUGUAUACUUAAACGUUUCUGCUGUAUGUUUUUUACGAGGAAAUAUGACUGCUUAUAACUGUUCAACAAUUUACUAAUUUGAGCACUGUCGCAGAGGUUUUCUUUCUGCAAGAAAGCUCAUUCUUCCAACCAGAGAGAUCCUUCUGCCAACGUUAAUGUUCAUUGAGAGCUUCACCGGGAAGAGUUUGCCGUUAUUAGCUGGCCGGUAAAUGUGGGGGAGGCUUCCCGGCCCUGCGUUGGUUCAGAAUUUCUAGAGUUUAGCCAUACAUGGUUGGAAAAACCUCCUGUGUGACCCGUAAGAAUCUGCUUUUGCCAUUCUUUCUUCAUCCGACAGAACAGCCAAUAAACUGAUUAAUCCAGGAUUUGCGGUGAGCAAAUAGUUAACGUAUGCAGGCCAAUUGUUAGCGUUGAACAGAGAAACCAUUGGCUUUUUUUCCUCAGCCUUGAAAUAUGAAAGUUAUAGUUGGUGUGCAAUAAUCUAUAUUUUUAUUUUUCAUUUUACAAGCCAGAUGAAUAGUUAUUCCAGAAUCCUGUCCACAUUCAAUGGACCUCGUCUACAUGCUGUGACAUUUUACCAAUUUAUUUUAAACUACCAGAACUACUAAACCUUUCAAGUCUGAUUGUUACCUGGUGAAAGUCUAGUCUGUUGCAGAUGACCAUUAUACGGUGGGUCAUUGAGAUUGCCAUCAACUCCAUAUCCAUCCACACCGACCAUGCAGAUUUUUGGGCUCUUUGAGUUUGGAGCCACCAAGUCAAUAGGGCCCUCAGCAGGUGAGGCCAUCUGCAACUUUUUUAGGGUAUUUACCCUUAUGGUGCUGUUAGAUCAGGUUAGAAUUAUUUAUUGAACCAGCAUUAACAAUUUUAUAUAUAAUAUUUGGGCGAGUACUGUUUAAAAUUGUUUAUAAAUUCUUUAUAUGAACCCUGUAAUAUAAUUCAUCUGGAAUUUUAGUCAACUUCAAAGUAUUGAAUGAAGUUGAUGCUUUCUGGAAUGCAUGUAAUCUUUAAAGACACCUAUAGAGUUUUAAUCUAUUUGUUCAAAAUCCAUCUUAUCCAUUAUAUGUUUCAUAUAGCUGAGUGAAUUAACACUGUUCAGAUAGAUCAAGAGCUAAACUAAUUUUGUUUUGUUUUCCCCCCGAGAAAUGAUUUUCAAUGGGUAAUCUAAUAUUUAGCUGUAAUCCUGAGAAUUUCCAAAACAAAAGCAACUGUUUUAGCCAAGAUACAAUGAAUUCUAUCCAAUGAAGUUUUCUAUCCAGCUAGUAUAUUUUGUAAAUGGUUGAAAUGUUAUCAGCCUAGCAUAAUCUGUCAAUUGACUGUUUCAAUCUCUGAGCUACAAUGCCAAAUCCCUUUUGCACUUUGACUUCCUGGUCAGAAAUGCUCGCCGACCUGAACCUCAACAGAUGCAGUUCACAGUAGCACAACAGUUUCAUUUCAGGACCGGCCCUUUAGGAUGACCAUGAGGUUACUGAGACAGUAGUUAAAAACUGAUUCACUGUUUGACUGAUGUCCUUUAAGGAAGGGAAUCCAUUGUCCUUGCCCAACAGGGUCAUAGAAAUAUACUUGGUUCUUAAUUGCCCACUGUUCUGGUUUACUAAGCCACUCACUUCAAGGGCAAUUUGGGCACUGCUGAAAUCCCGUGAAUGAAUAGGAGGAAAAGAUUGAGGCAGACACUUUAAACUGUAUCAUUACAGAGUAAUUAGGAAUUCCCUCUGCUCCCUUUGCCCAUUCUCAGUUUAAAAAAAAAAAACAAGGCAGUAUUCGAAACAUUCACUGUUUGCAAGUUCUGAGCUGUGAUUUCAGUGACAAUGGAGAAAAGUGGAAAAAUAUUUCAUACAUGCCUGCAUCGCUUGCCGACACCACGCUCUGAGUUCAAAGACACAGGUGAAUCAAAUAGUAUAACAGGCAGAUAUAGCUUGGUUGGCAGAUGCAACUGCUGCUAAACACUUAAGGUGUGUGUGUGUGUGUGCGCGUAUGUGUGCGUGCGUGUGUGUGUGUGUGUGUGUGUGCGCGUGUGUGUAUAUAUAACAAAAAAAAAAGCUUUUAACAGAGCCAGACUGGGACAUCACACACCUAACACUUCUUUAAACAACCCAUACUGACUUGAUUUUAGUGCAAUGAAUACUCAGUCACAUUAGACACAUACAGUUUUAAAUAAGCUACUUACAAACCAUACUGUUCUUUUUUUUACUUUUGAUAUUUACUAUGUAUAAUCUGUUUAGCAUCAUAAACAACCAAAAAUGUAUUCCACUGUUUUAUCAAGCAGUACGUUUCAAAGGCUUUGUUUUAUUUUUCCAAAAAACAAUUGCUGAAGGCACCACAAACCUUUUUGAGGGCAUAUAAAACGACUAUAAGGGAAACGAUUUGACACCAUCAGAGCACGUUUCAAUUCACCCACCCACAGAUAUUUAUUGCCUAUAGCACCUCGAGAGCACAAAAUGGCUGCUGGUUUGUCACUAAGUAGGAUGUUAACUUGCCAGGGACUAGCAGAUCAUUAUCCAUGAGUGAGUGAAGUAAAUUAAGCUAUUAAAGUUGAUGCUCUGACCAUUAAUAACUAGCCAGUUUUGGAUGUAUUUUCUGGCAUGAAUGCAAUCAAUAUUUAUUCAAAAGUAUAUGUUUUUUCUCUUAUCCUAUUAGCUGUGUCUGACUGUGAUCAAUUAAUAUUUCAAUGCUGCUUAAUUGUUUUGAUGUUAAUCCUUUAUUUCUGUACUUCCAUUUUGUUGCUUGUAAACAGCUUUUGUAUUGUUUGAAGAGUAAUAAAUGGGAAGUUACUGUUUUUUUUGUAAAUAAAACUUUUGCUGUAAUGG
Molecule: long non-coding RNA, 4652 nt
Organism: Leucoraja erinaceus (little skate)
Lineage: Eukaryota; Metazoa; Chordata; Chondrichthyes; Rajiformes; Rajidae
Exons: 2
Source: RefSeq, a predicted model, not a curated record